This is a non-coding RNA of Octopus bimaculoides (California two-spot octopus), 113 nucleotides long. The record is from Rfam. NCBI's taxonomy places the organism in Eukaryota, Metazoa, Mollusca, Cephalopoda, Octopoda, Octopodidae.
UUUAUGAGUGAAAGGAAAAAUGGUUAGCACUCUUUUUGACAAGGAUAGAAAAAAUCACUUGGUCUUUCUAAGACAUAUGGGCAUUGCUUUCUACUUCAGAGCAACCUUCUUUU